This 253-nucleotide ribosomal RNA is filed under the name uncultured bacterium. RNAcentral describes it as "partial 16S ribosomal RNA". It matches the Rfam family "Bacterial small subunit ribosomal RNA", at positions 524 to 776 of the family's 1533-position model. The record is from RNAcentral.
UACAGGGGGUGCAAACGUUGCUCGGAAUUAUUGGGCGUAAAGCGCGUGUAGGCGGGAUGGCAAGUCGGGUGUGAAAGCCCUCAGCUCAACUGAGGAAGGGCGCCCGAAACUACUGUUCUUGAGUGUCGGAGAGGGUGGCGGAAUUCCCGGUGUAGAGGUGAAAUUCGUAGAUAUCGGGAGGAACACCAGAGGCGAAGGCGGCCACCUGGACGAAAACUGACGCUGAGACGCGAAAGCGUGGGGAGCAAACAGG